CUUCAAAUCAGAUUCUACGCCGUGUACUCAGACUCAGUGUAAGAAAACAAAUAUGAAACAAAAUC
Molecule: small RNA, 65 nt
Filed under: Arabidopsis thaliana (thale cress)
Lineage: Eukaryota; Viridiplantae; Streptophyta; Magnoliopsida; Brassicales; Brassicaceae
Description: ATSL048820
Source: RNAcentral